UACGGGGGGGGCAAGCGUUGUUCGGAUUUACUGGGCGUAAAGGGCGCGUAGGCGGCGUGACAAGUCACUUGUGAAAUCUCCGGGCUUAACCCGGAGCGGCCAAGUGAUACUGUCGUGCUAGAGUGCGGAAGGGGCUACUGGAAUUCUCGGUGUAGCGGUGAAAUGCGUAGAUAUCGAGAGGAACACCUGCGGCGAAGGCGGGUAGCUGGGCCGACACUGACGCUGAUGCGCGAAAGCCAGGGGAGCGAACGGG
This 253-nucleotide ribosomal RNA is filed under the name uncultured bacterium. Its description in RNAcentral is "partial 16S ribosomal RNA". It matches the Rfam family "Bacterial small subunit ribosomal RNA", at positions 524 to 776 of the family's 1533-position model. The record is from RNAcentral.